CGCUGGCGGCGUGCUUAACACAUGCAAGUCGAACGGUAAGGCCCUUCGGGGUACACGAGUGGCGAACGGGUGAGUAACACGUGGGUGAUCUGCCCUGCACUUCGGGAUAAGCCUGGGAAACUGGGUCUAAUACCGGAUAGGACCAUGGACUUCACGGUUUGUGGUGGAAAGCUUUUGCGGUGUGGGAUGGGCCCGCGGCCUAUCAGCUUGUUGGUGGGGUAAUGGCCUACCAAGGCGACGACGGGUAGCCGGCCUGAGAGGGUGUCCGGCCACACUGGGACUGAGAUACGGCCCAGACUCCUACGGGAGGCAGCAGUGGGGAAUAUUGCACAAUGGGCGCAAGCCUGAUGCAGCGACGCCGCGCGAGGGAUGACGGCCUUCGGGUUGUAAACCUCUUUCAAUAGGGACGAAGCGCAAGUGACGGUACCUAUAGAAGAAGCACCGGCCAACUACGUG
Molecule: ribosomal RNA, 456 nt
Filed under: uncultured bacterium
Lineage: Bacteria
Description: bacterial SSU rRNA
Rfam family: Bacterial small subunit ribosomal RNA
Source: RNAcentral